Molecule: ribosomal RNA, 572 nt
Filed under: uncultured fungus
Lineage: Eukaryota; Fungi
Description: eukaryotic LSU rRNA
Rfam family: 5.8S ribosomal RNA (bases 221-371)
Source: RNAcentral
UUUGGUCAUUUAGAGGAAGUAAAAGUCGUAACAAGGUUUCCGUAGGUGAACUGCGGAAGGAUCAUUACAGAGUUCAUGCCCUCGCGGGUAGAUCUCCCACCUUGAAUACAUACCUUUGUUGCUUUGGCGGGCCACGUCCGCGUGUCGGUCCGGCUGGCUGCGCCUGCCAGAGGACCCAAACUCGUUUGUUUAGUGAUUCUGAGUACUAUAUAAUAGUUAAAACUUUCAACAACGGAUCUCUUGGUUUGGCAUCGAUGAAGAACGCAGCGAAAUGCGAUAAGUAAUGUGAAUUGCAAAUUCAGUGAAUCAUCGAAUCUUUGAACGCACAUUGCGCCCCUUGGCAUCCGAGGGGCAUGCCUGUCCGAGCGUCAUUAUGACCACUCAAGCCUGGCUGGUGUUGGGGCCCGCGGUUCCGCGGCCCUUAAAAUCAGUGGCGGCGCCACUGGCUCUAAGCGUAGUGAUACUCCUCGCUAUAGAGUCCUGGUGGAUGCUGCCAGCAACCCCCAAUCUCACGGUUGACCUCGGAUCAGGUAGGGAUACCGCUGAACUUAAGCAUAUCAAUAAGCGGAGGA